This 224-nucleotide unclassified non-coding RNA is filed under the name Paraglomus occultum. RNAcentral's name for it is "partial contains 5.8S ribosomal RNA and internal transcribed spacer 2". The stretch from base 1 to 65 matches the Rfam family "5.8S ribosomal RNA", at positions 84 to 154 of the family's 154-position model. The record is from RNAcentral. Lineage: Eukaryota; Fungi; Glomeromycota; Glomeromycetes; Paraglomerales; Paraglomeraceae.
GUGAAUCAUCGAAUUUUUGAACGCAAAUUGCGCCUUUUUCGGAAGGCAUGUCUGUUUGAGGGCACCAUUUAACAAAUAAUGUGCAGCGUUUUUUGUUGCACACGUUGUUGAUCUUUCUAAGAAUUUUAAAUUUUUGGUGGCGCAUAAUGAACAGUGUGAAAGUUUUUUUUAGUUCGAGUGUAGUUAAUUCUUUGCAUGGGGUGUGAUAAAAUAUAAUCGGGCAA